GAAACAGAUGCUAAUACCGCAUAAAUCCAACAACCGCAUGGUUCUUGGCUGAAAGAUGGCGUAAGCUAUCUCUUUUGGAUGGACCCGCGGCGUAUUAGCUAGUUGGUGAGGUAACGGCUCACCAAGGCAAUGAUACGUAGCCGAACUGAGAGGUUGAUCGGCCACAUUGGGACUGAGACACGGCCCAAACUCCUACGGGAGGCAGCAGUAGGGAAUCUUCCACAAUGGACGCAAGUCUGAUGGAGCAACGCCGCGUGAGUGAAGAAGGCUUUCGGGUCGUAAAACUCUGUUGUUGGAGAAGAAUGGUCGGCAGAGUAACUGUUGUCGGCGUGACGGUAUCCAACCAGAAAGCCACGGCUAACUACGUGCCAGCAGCCGCGGUAAUACGUAGGUGGCAAGCGUUAUCCGGAUUUAUUGGGCGUAAAGCGAGCGCAGGCGGUUUUUUAAGUCUGAUGUG
This 457-nucleotide ribosomal RNA is filed under the name Lacticaseibacillus rhamnosus. RNAcentral's name for it is "bacterial SSU rRNA". It matches the Rfam family "Bacterial small subunit ribosomal RNA", at positions 153 to 596 of the family's 1533-position model. Lineage: Bacteria; Bacillati; Bacillota; Bacilli; Lactobacillales; Lactobacillaceae. The record is from RNAcentral.